CUUUGAAACAAGGAUUCCCCAGUAACGGCGAGUGAAGUGGGAAAAGCUCAACUUUGAAAUCUGGCUGUUUUACAGUCCGAGUUGUAGUCUCGAGAAGUGUUUUCCGCGUUAAACCGUGUAUGAGUCUGUUGGAACACAGCGUCAUAGAGGGUGAGAACCCCGUUCAUGACACGGCUUUUAAUGCUUUGUGAUACACUUUCGAUGAGUCGAGUUGUUUGGGAAUGCAGCUCAAAUUGGGUGGUAAAUUCCAUCUAAAGCUAAAUAUUGGCGAGAGACCGAUAGCAAACAAGUACCGUGAGGGAAAGAUGAAAAGCACUUUGGAAAGAGAGUUAAAAGUACGUGAAAUUGUCGAAAGGGAAACGCUUGAAGUCAGACGUGCACGGGAUUUAUUCCUAUUGCAGGCCAACAUCGGUUUUACGAGCCGGAUAAAGGUACAAGGAAGGUAGCAGUUUCGGCUGUGUUAUAGCCUCGUACUGAAUACGGAUUGUGAGACCGAGGGACGCAGCGCGCCGCAAGGCAAAGGGUCCGCCCUUUUCGCGCUUAGGAUGUUGGUGAAAUGGCUUUAA
This 566-nucleotide ribosomal RNA is filed under the name Erythrobasidium hasegawianum. RNAcentral describes it as "eukaryotic LSU rRNA". It matches the Rfam family "Eukaryotic large subunit ribosomal RNA", at positions 56 to 643 of the family's 3401-position model. The record is from RNAcentral. Lineage: Eukaryota; Fungi; Basidiomycota; Cystobasidiomycetes; Erythrobasidiales; Erythrobasidiaceae.